CAGUGUCUCCGGCGUGUCCUGCAUCUCGGCAGCCAGCUCCUCUGCAGCUCAGGCCCCGUGAGUCACAGCCGCUUCCUCAAAUGCUUUGGCUGACCGCAUCCCCCCGCUCCGCCAGAACCCUGGAUGCCGGAGCCCUCCCAGCGAGAGCCGUGUUUAUUUUACUUUACAUACAUUUUCCAACCCGGAGCGGCUUCAACACAUGCAGCUCUUAGGCCCGGGCCGCACAUCUCAGAAGCCCCGUGUGCGACUUUGACUGCCGCACGAUCCUCUGCCGGGGGAGGUGGGCCCGCUGCGCUUUGGGAGCACCCGCGCCCGACACUGAGGUCUCGGUGCUGUCUUCGGCCUCUUCGCCCCUGAGGGUCCCCUCUGGGAGCAGAGGCGGUCGGAAAACCCUGGGGCUGAAGUGCAGGCUUCGGGAGGACGCGACCUGCCAAGAUCAGCUCCCGGCACGUGAUGGGAGCCUGGCUCACCUUCCCCCAGCACACGAUGGGGCUGCAGCCUCCCCGGUCAGCCUGGCCUGCUGGAAAGGAGCAGCUCUGUCUCCAGAGGCUUCUGGCGAAGCCCAUGGCCUCCCAAUGUUGGCUGAUUUAUAAGGAAAGAGGGGAAAGGCCAAGUGUGGAUGCCAUUAGCAUAACCUAAUCCAGACCCCAUGACAAGUCCAGGAUCCUGCAGGGAGAGGGCAUCCUUGAACGUGAAGGACUGGGUUUGGAAACUUGGCCUCCCGGAAGAAAGGUCUCCGGGCCCACCCACACCCCCCUUGUGGACGCCCCCGCAGUCUAAUACACUCCACAGUAAGACGGACCAGGAACAGCAGCAGCCUCCGGUGUCGGCCCAGUGAUCCGGGAGCUCAGAGUGUAGGUACCUGACGGCUUGACUCGUCCCCAGGACAAGGCCUGUGAGUGGGAGAGGGGCACUCUGAGUGUGCGAAUCUGUGAGAGUGUGUGUGUGUCUGGGCACGAGUGUGUAUGCGUGUGUGUGCAUGUAUAUUCACAUGUGUGAGGGUGUGAAUGUGUGUGUCUGUGGGUCUGGGCACAUGAGUGUGUGUGUGCAUAUACUACAUUCACGUGUGAGUGUGCAAAUGCGAGUGUGUCUGUAGGUCUGGGCACGUGUAUGCGUGUGUGUGCGAGUACUAUAUUCGCAUGUGUGAGUGUGCGAAUGUGUGUGUCUGUGGGUCUGGGCACACGAGUGUGUAUGCGUGUGUGUGCAUGUACUAUAUUCACGUGUGUGAGUGUGCGAAUGUGUCUGUGGGUCUGGGCACAUGAGUGUGUGCAUAUACUAUAUUCACGUGUGUGAGUGUGCAAAUGUGUGUCUGUAGGUCUGGGCACAUGUGUAUGCGUGUGUGUGCGAGUACUAUAUUCACGUGUGUGUGAGUGCGAAUGUGAGUGGGUGUGGGUCUGGUCACAUGUAUGUAUGCAUGUGUGCAUGUAUUAUAGUCAUGUGAGUGUGCAAAUGUGUGUGUGGGUCUGGGCACACAAGUGUGUAUGCAUGUGUUUCUAUUGUAUUCAUGUGAGUAUAAGUGCAAAUGUGUGAGUGUGUGUUCUCUGCACACACAAGUGUAUAGGUAUGUGUUUGUGUGUGCAUGCACUGUAUUCAUGUGAGUGUAUGUGAAUGUGUGACUGUGAGAGUUUGAGUGUGCCUGGGUGUCUGGCUAUACUAGUGCAUGUCUGUGUUCGUGUGCAUCAGUCUGGGUGUGCCCGUGUGUGAAUGUGUCUAUGCGUGGGUGUCCCAAUAUGUGUGUGCCUGUGUAUCCAUGUCUGGGUGUGCCUGUGAGUGUGAGUGUGCGCAUGGGUGUCUGGAUAUGUGAGUGCUUGUGACUACCUGUGUGUGUAUCCAUGUCUAGGUGUGCCCGUGGGUGUGAGUGUGUCUGUGCGUGGGUGUCUGGAUACGUGUGUGCCUGUAUGAGUGUGUAUCCAUGUCUGGGUGUGCCCACGGGUGUGAGUGUGAAUAUGUAAGUCUUGCGUGUGCAUGAGUGUGUUCACAUGAGUGUGAGGGUCUGUGCAUAAGAGCCUAUUGUGAGUGCAUGUGGAUUGCAUUUAUGUGAGUCCGUGUCUGUGUGCACGCACGUGUCCCCGCACAAGCCAGCCCGAGAGGGAGUGUCCCCUGAACACACCCUGGCAGCACUUGCAGCGUGAUGAGGUUGAGGGAAUGUGUCGCUGAGGUCGUAAAUGCCUCUCGCACGUCCCAACACGCUGGAGCAACAGCAGCCCGUGAUGCCGGCCGCGCAGCCGUGAAGUCCGUGGAGCGUCCCUAAUCACUGGGGGUUCUGCUUUGCGGUGACAGCGGUGCUACUCACAGCUCCAGAACUCUGCAGCUUCCCCCCUGAAACGGGAACGGGAAGGUGGCGCGGGCGUCCACACCUCGAGCCACAGCCGGCGGGAGGCACAGGCUGGCAAAACUGCCUCUCAGUAGUGAGAAGAGACAAACAAACCGAACGCCAGGAGCAGAGGAAACGAAGACGAUGUGGCCAAGAAAAAUUGCAUUUUUCUUUCCAGUUUUGCUAAAAUAGCCUUCUCAUUGGCUGCGGCUUUGGAGGUGGCAGAAAUCAUACGUUUAAUCACGGCGCCCUCCUGCUUGCCAAGCUUUGCGUCCUCCAGAAUUGUCCUGUGAGUGACUCCCGCAGGAUGGAGACUUUUGUGUCUGGCUUCCUUCACUUCGCAGCAGGCUUCGCGGGACCCGUGUGGUGGCACCAGCGUCCAGCCCUUGGUACUGCUGAGUUGUAGGUUGUGGGACAGGUGGAGGUACCACAGUUGCUCACGGGUUCACCUGUGGAUGGGCAUGUGGGCUGUUGUGAGUGAAGCCACUUCAGACGUUUGCGUGCAGGUUUGGUGGGGACGUGCAGUUUCAUUUCUUUUGAGAGUGGGAUUGCUGGAGCCUAUGUUAAGGGUACGUUCAACUCAUCAGCUCAACUGUCUUCCAAAUGGCAGCCCCGUUUUCCACCCCCGCCAGCAACGCCCGCGACUCCAGGCGCGCUGCAUUUUCAUCAGCACCUGGCAGUGGUGAUUCAUAAUGCUUUAAAUGUUAAUUUCCCUCAUGACUAGUGAUGUUAAACAUCUUAUUAAACAUCUUAGGUAUUA
RNAcentral lists this long non-coding RNA (3074 nucleotides) under Homo sapiens (human). RNAcentral's name for it is "HSALNT0385216". Lineage: Eukaryota; Metazoa; Chordata; Mammalia; Primates; Hominidae. The record is from RNAcentral.